RNAcentral lists this ribosomal RNA (30 nucleotides) under Acer palmatum. RNAcentral describes it as "partial 25S ribosomal RNA". The record is from RNAcentral. Lineage: Eukaryota; Viridiplantae; Streptophyta; Magnoliopsida; Sapindales; Sapindaceae.
GACCCCCAGGCAAGGCGGAAUACCCGCUUA